ACGCUGGCGGUAGGCUUAACACAUGCAAGUCGUGCGAGAAAGUAUCUUCGGAUAUGAGUAGAGCGGCGGACGGGUGAGUAACGCGUAGGAAUCUACCUAGUAGAAGGGGAUAGCCCGAGGAAACUCGGAUUAAUACCGUAUACCUCCUUCGGGAGAAAGAAGGCCUCUCUUUGAAGCUUUCGCUACUAGAUGAGCCUGCGUAAGAUUAGCUUGUUGGUGAGGUAAAGGCUCACCAAGGCUACGAUCUUUAGCGGGUCUGAGAGGACGAUCCGCCACAUUGGGACUGAGACACGGCCCAGACUCCUACGGGAGGCAGCAGUGGGGAAUAUUGGACAAUGGGCGAAAGCCUGAUCCAGCCAUACCGCGUGUGUGAAGAAGGCCCUAGGGUUGUAAAGCACUUUAAGUUGGGAAGAAAAGUUAUUGGUUAAUACCCAAUGACCGUGACAUUACCAUCAGAAUAAGGACCGGCUAAUUCCGUGCCAGCAGCCGCGGUAAUACGGAAGGUCCAAGCGUUAAUCGGAAUUACUGGGCGUAAAGCGCGCGUAGGUGGUUUAUUAAGUUGGGUGUGAAAUCCCCGGGCUCAACCUGGGAACUGCAUCCAAAACUGAUUCACUAGAGUACGAUAGAGGGAGGUAGAAUUCACAGUGUAGCGGUGGAAUGCGUAGAUAUUGUGAAGAAUACCAAUGGCGAAGGCAGCCUCCUGGAUCUGUACUGACACUGAGGUGCGAAAGCGUGGGUAGCGAACAGGAUUAGAUACCCUGGUAGUCCACGCCGUAAACGAUGUCAACUAUCUGUUGGAAAGCAUUGCUUUUCAGUGGAGCAGCUAACGUAAUAAGUUGACCGCCUGGG
This 849-nucleotide ribosomal RNA is filed under the name uncultured bacterium. Its description in RNAcentral is "bacterial SSU rRNA". It matches the Rfam family "Bacterial small subunit ribosomal RNA", at positions 33 to 877 of the family's 1533-position model. The record is from RNAcentral.